This 379-nucleotide ribosomal RNA is filed under the name uncultured bacterium. RNAcentral's name for it is "bacterial SSU rRNA". It matches the Rfam family "Bacterial small subunit ribosomal RNA", at positions 28 to 412 of the family's 1533-position model. The record is from RNAcentral.
GACGAACGCUGGCGGCGUGCUUAACACAUGCAAGUCGAGCGGUAAGGCCCUUUUGGGGGUACACGAGCGGCGAACGGGUGAGUAACACGUGGGUGACCUGCCCUCAGCUCUGGGAUAAGCCUGGGAAACUGGGUCUAAUACUGGAUAUGACCUUUCCUCGCAUGGGGUUGGGUGGAAAGUUUUUCGGCUGGGGAUGGGCCCGCGGCCUAUCAGCUUGUUGGUGGGGUGAUGGCCUACCAAGGCGACGACGGGUAGCCGGCCUGAGAGGGCGACCGGCCACACUGGGACUGAGACACGGCCCAGACUCCUACGGGAGGCAGCAGUGGGGAAUAUUGCGCAAUGGGCGAAGCCUGACGCAGCGACGCCGCGUGGGGAUGAC